RNAcentral lists this ribosomal RNA (525 nucleotides) under Penicillium expansum. RNAcentral describes it as "eukaryotic LSU rRNA". The stretch from base 159 to 311 matches the Rfam family "5.8S ribosomal RNA". Lineage: Eukaryota; Fungi; Ascomycota; Eurotiomycetes; Eurotiales; Aspergillaceae. The record is from RNAcentral.
UUGGGUCACCUCCCACCCGUGUUUAUUUACCUCGUUGCUUCGGCGGGCCCGCCUUAACUGGCCGCCGGGGGGCUCACGCCCCCGGGCCCGCGCCCGCCGAAGACACCCCCGAACUCUGCCUGAAGAUUGUCGUCUGAGUGAAAAUAUAAAUUAUUUAAAACUUUCAACAACGGAUCUCUUGGUUCCGGCAUCGAUGAAGAACGCAGCGAAAUGCGAUACGUAAUGUGAAUUGCAAAUUCAGUGAAUCAUCGAGUCUUUGAACGCACAUUGCGCCCCCUGGUAUUCCGGGGGGCAUGCCUGUCCGAGCGUCAUUGCUGCCCUCAAGCCCGGCUUGUGUGUUGGGCCCCGUCCUCCGAUUCCGGGGGACGGGCCCGAAAGGCAGCGGCGGCACCGCGUCCGGUCCUCGAGCGUAUGGGGCUUUGUCACCCGCUCUGUAGGCCCGGCCGGCGCUUGCCGAUCAACCCAAAUUUUUAUCCAGGUUGACCUCGGAUCAGGUAGGGAUACCCGCUGAACUUAAGCAUAUCA